AGAAAAUUACCAUACCAAUUUCUAUAUUGCAUCUUUGAACAUUCAACGUAACGUUUCCUUAUCUAAUACUCGAAAUUUCCUACUAACCUGAACAAACAGAAACGGAUAGAGCCAUGGACCGGCCCUCAACAUCGACCUCAACGGAUAACCUCAAACGGGAGCCCAUGGAAACAGUCAUCAAAGCUCAGACGGAAUAGCUCGCGCCAGAAACUCGAACACGAGCGGACUGAAAAUGAGUCAUGGCUGCUACUGGUUUUUCCAGGUGGUCAUUUGGAAGCUCGUUACUUUUAAAGGCUGGGUUCGACGGGGUGCCGGUUGACGGGCAGUGACGACGAGCAGGAGCUGGUGGUUUGUGGCGUUUGGACGUGGGUCGACGGGCAGUGACGACGAGUAGGUGCUGGACUGGUGCGUGGGAGGCUGCUGGAAGGGUCGUUUGGUGGUGGUUCAGGCGUUGGGGGGGUUGCGACUGGUUUCUGUUUGGUGGUGGUCGUGAGGCUGGUGGGUUGACAGUAGGGUCGAGGGUGGUUGCUGGAGGUGGAAGGGUCUGUUUGGUGGUGGUUUUUGGUGGUGGUGUUUGGUGGUGGUGUUUGGACGUGAGGGAGUAGGGGUCUCACUAGUUCCGAUGGUGAGGAAGACGAUGGCAAAAAGCAGUGGUCGUCGGACGCAGGUGGUCGACGGUCGGGGAGCUGGGGUUCCGACGAGGGGGGGUUGCGGAUGGUAGUUUUGGACAGUAGGGUUUUUGUUAGGUUUUUCUCUUUGUUUUUCAACAGGAGGAAGAAGAUCAAUGAACAAUGCCCGUCCCCUCCUUUCAAAAUCCGUUCAACCCCCUUUCCUUUGCCUUGUCCGUGUAUUUUUGUACCCUUUGCCAAAAAAAUGGACCCCACGUGUGUAGGGGUCCAAGAUUUGUGUCCCCCAUGCGCGGUGGGAUUCCCCGUGUACGGUGUUCCAUCCGUGUCCCCCAUGUGUGGUGGACUCGGAUUAUUAUGGGCUAGGUCCGAAAAUUAGGCCUAAAAAUGGAUAGUUUGAACCUGAAUAUUAUUCUUUUGCCCGGACCCGAGAUUAAGAACACGACGUUGCUCAACUAAUCCUAUGUAAGCAAAAUAACUACCAAAAGACUAAUAUUUGAAACAAAACUAUAUCUUCUUUAAUAUUUUUUCAAAACUAUUUUUGUGAUUUUCGUUUUUUAUAUAAAGAUAAAAUAUGAAGUAAUCCUUUUUUGUAUUUUUCCAAAAUUAAAAUGACUACAAAACAUUAAUAGUACUAUAUUUUUUUGGUAAUUUUUGAAAUUAUAUAAAGUACAAAAUUAAGGUACAGUUUCUUUUGUAUUUUUUCAAGUUUAUGAGAAAUACAUAAACUAAAAUUCAUAUAUAUAUUUUUUUUUAUAAUUUUUCUUUUGCGACGAAAUAAAGUAAAAUAGUUAAAAUAGCUAUAUUAGACCCAAUUUCAAAUAUUCACGCUAAAAAUGUGAAAAUUCUCGGGGAGGGUCAAAAAUCACGCNNNNNNNNNNNNNNNNNNNNNNNNNCGAGGGGCGUAGGGAGUUUUUUCCAAUUAAAGGACAAUCGAAACGAGAUUUGUUUAUUUAUUUCAGAGUCGCCACUUGGGAGAUUUAGGGUGUCCCAAGUCACCAAUUUUAAUCCCGAUUCGAGGAAAAGAAUGACUCCAUAUUACAGUCUGCGCACCAGAAAUCCGGAUAAGGAAUUCUGUUAACCCGGGAGAAGGUGUUAGGCAUUCCCGAGUUCCGUGGUUCUAGCACUGUCGCUCAACUAUCAUAUUCGGCUUAUUUAUCUGAUUUUAAUACAAUUGUGAACUGAUGUGCCAAUUUUAUCUUUUUUAUCACUUUAUUAUUAUUAUUUUUAAAAGAAUGUGAACAUCGCUUAAAACACGUCUUUGGACCGCGUCACAUGAAAUGCACCCAUAAUCCAGAACGCAUUUUAUUUGAUGUUUUGGAAUUUGGAUUUGGGUUGCAUGAAAUGCACACCCAAGCUUAAGAAAGUAAAUUAUUAAACGCGCGCCUAAAGAGACUAUCGCGUUAUUAUUCUGGGAAGACCGCGAAUUUUGCUAAAUGGCCCGUCCUGGAAACUAAGUACCUUAAUAUAUACAUUUAACGAGGGCCCCGCAGCUUGUGGAUUUUUGUUUGUCGAGGCUCGUCUCAUCUUUAUUUUAAAAAGGAGAUUUGCAAUGUCAUGGAAAUGCAUAUCAAACCACGUCACAAUUAAUGUACCCGUGAUUAAAGAUACAUUUCGACUCCGUUGAGAUUUGGAUUUGGGUCACAUAAAUGUGCACCCGAGUUAAGGAGAAUAAAUUAUUAAAGGCGCGCCUAAAGCGACUAGCGUAUUAUUAUUUUUGGGUGAGGCCGUGGAAUUUCGCUAAGCGGCCCGUCCCGGAAUCUAAGUAUUUAAUACAUAUAUUUUUUGUGAGGGCUCCGCAAUCUGUACAUUUUUAUUUGGCGAAACUCGUCUCAUUUUUUUUUAUUUUAAAAGGAUGCCAUUUUUAUGCCUUUAACAAUACUAAACCUUACAGCCUCUUUACAACUAAAAUCUCAUAACUUGUUAGAAAUUUAAUAAAAGGAGUUUAGCGAGUGAGUGUUUCGGGAGUAGCAACAACAUGUACUAAUACUAAUUUUGUCUAAAUGCACUAAGUAAAGGAAGGGACGAACCAAUUAACGUCAAACUGUGUCAUAGAACACGUAACAUAACUUAAUCAAAUGACAUUAAAUAAACAAGAAUAACAUAACAUAAAAAAUGAACCAAAAUGCAUACAGUGAAACAUAGGCAGAAAAUUACCAUACCAAUUUCUAUAUUGCAUCUUUGAACAUUCAACGUAACGUUUCCUUAUCUAAUACUCGAAAUUUCCUACUAACCUGAACAAACAGAAACGGAUAGAGCCACGGACCGGCCCUCAACAUCGACCUCAACAGGUAACCUCAAACGGGAGCCCAUGGAAACAGUCAUCAAAGCUCAGACGGAAUAGCUUGCGCCAGAAACUCGAACACGAGCGGACUGAAAAUGAGUCAUGGCUGCUACUGGUUUUUCCAGGUGGUCAUUUGGAAGCUCGUUACUUUUAAAGGCUGGGUUCGAUGGGGUGCCGGUUGAUGGGCAGUGACGACGAGCAGGAGCUGGUGGUUUGUGGCGUUUGGACGUGGGGUCGACGGGCAGUGACGACGAGCAGGUGCCGGACUGGUGCGUGGGAGGCUGCUGGAAGGGUCGUUUGGUGGUGGUUCAGGCGUUGGGGGGGGUUGCGACUGGUUUCUGUUUGGUGGUGGUCGUGAGGCUGGUGGGUUGACAGUAGGGUCGAGGGUGGUUGCUGGAGGUGGAAGGGUCUGUUUGGUGGUGGUUUUUGGUGGUGGUGUUUGGUGGUGGUGUUUGGACGUGAGGAAGUAGGGGUCUCGCUGGUUCCGAUGUUGAGGAAGACGAUGGCAAAAAGCAGUGGUCGUCGGACGCAGGUGGUCGACGGUCGGGGAGCUGGGGUUCCGACGAGGGGGGGGGUUGCGUAUGGUAGUUUUGGAUAGUAGGGUUUUUGAUAGGUUUUUCUCUUUGUUUUUCAACAGGAG
RNAcentral lists this long non-coding RNA (3550 nucleotides) under Nicotiana tabacum (common tobacco). RNAcentral's name for it is "long non-coding RNA (NTAB_LNC016582)". Lineage: Eukaryota; Viridiplantae; Streptophyta; Magnoliopsida; Solanales; Solanaceae. The record is from RNAcentral.